RNAcentral lists this ribosomal RNA (897 nucleotides) under Pholiotina sp. Its description in RNAcentral is "LSU rRNA". It matches the Rfam family "Eukaryotic large subunit ribosomal RNA", at positions 71 to 955 of the family's 3401-position model. The record is from RNAcentral. RNAcentral also lists the same sequence under 1 other name. Lineage: Eukaryota; Fungi; Basidiomycota; Agaricomycetes; Agaricales; Bolbitiaceae.
AGGAUUCCCCUAGUAACUGCGAGUGAAGCGGGAAAAGCUCAAAUUUAAAAUCUGGCAGCCUUUGGUUGUUCGAGUUGUAACCUAGAGAAGUGUUAUCCGUGUUGGACCGUGUUUAAGUCUCCUGGAAUGGAGCGUCAUAGAGGGUGAGAAUCCCGUCUUUGACACGGACUGCCAAUGCAUUGUGAUGCGCUCUCAAAGAGUCGAGUUGUUUGGGAAUGCAGCUCAAAAUGGGUGGUAAAUUCCAUCUAAAGCUAAAUAUUGGCGAGAGACCGAUAGCGAACAAGUACCGUGAGGGAAAGAUGAAAAGAACUUUGGAAAGAGAGUUAAACAGUACGUGAAAUUGCUGAAAGGGAAACGCUUGAAGUCAGUCGCGUUGGCCAGGAAUCAACCUUGCUUCUGCUGGGUGUACUUUCUGGUUGACGGGUCAGCAUCAAUUUUGGCUGUUGGAAAAAGUUCAGAGGAAUGUGGCAUCUUCGGAUGUGUUAUAGCCUUAGUUCGCAUACAACAGCUGGGAUUGAGGAACUCAGCACGCCGAAAGGCCGGGUUUCGACCACGUUCGUGCUUAGGAUGCUGGCAUAAUGGCUUUAAUCGACCCGUCUUGAAACACGGACCAAGGAGUCUAACAUGCCUGCGAGUGUUUGGGUGGAAAACCCGAGCGCGUAAUGAAAGUGAAAGUUGAGAUCCCUGUCGUGGGGAGCAUCGACGCCCGGACCAGACCUCUUGUGACGGUUCCGCGGUAGAGCAUGUAUGUUGGGACCCGAAAGAUGGUGAACUAUGCCUGAAUAGGGUGAAGCCAGAGGAAACUCUGGUGGAGGCUCGUAGCGAUUCUGACGUGCAAAUCGAUCGUCAAAUUUGGGUAUAGGGGCGAAAGACUAAUCGAACCAUCUAGUAGCUGGU